UGGGGAAUAUUGGACAAUGGGCGCAAGCCUGAUCCAGCCAUGCCGCGUGAGUGAUGAAGGCCCUAGGGUUGUAAAGCUCUUUCACCGGUGAAGAUAAUGACGGUAACCGGAGAAGAAGCCCCGGCUAACUUCGUGCCAGCAGCCGCGGUAAUACGAAGGGGGCUAGCGUUGUUCGGAUUUACUGGUCGUAAAGCGCACGUAGGCGGACUAUUAAGUCAGGGGUGAAAUCCCGGGGCUCAACCCCGGAACUGCCUUUGAUACUGGUAGUCUUGAGUUCGAGAGGGGUGAGUGGAAUUCCGAGUGUAGAGGUGAAAUUCGUAGAUAUUCGGAGGAACACCAGUGGCGAAGGCGGCUCACUGGCUAGAUACUGACGCUGAGGUGCGAAAGCGUGGGGAGCAAACAGG
This 404-nucleotide ribosomal RNA is filed under the name Actinomycetes bacterium. RNAcentral's name for it is "Actinobacteria bacterium partial 16S ribosomal RNA". It matches the Rfam family "Bacterial small subunit ribosomal RNA", at positions 355 to 776 of the family's 1533-position model. Lineage: Bacteria; Bacillati; Actinomycetota; Actinomycetes. The record is from RNAcentral.